AUUGAACGCUGGCGGCAGGCCUAACACAUGCAAGUCGAGCGGAGCGGCGGACGGGUGAGUAAUGCCUAGGAAUCUGCCUGGUAGUGGGGGAUAACGUCCGGAAACGGGCGCUAAUACCGCAUACUAUCAGAUGAGCCUAGGUCGGAUUAGCUAGUUGGUGGGGUAAAGGCCUACCAAGGCGACGAUCCGUAACUGGUCUGAGAGGAUGAUCAGUCACACUGGAAAUGAGACACGGGCCCGACUCCUACGGGAGGCAGCAGUGGGGAAUAAUGGGAAAUGGGGGAAAGGCUGAUCCAGCCAAGCCGCGGGAGUGAUGAAGGCCUUCGGGUUGUAAAGCUCUGUUAAUCGGGACGCGGUACCGGAAGAGAAAGCAACGGCUAACUACGUGCCAGCAGCCGCGGUAAUAC
RNAcentral lists this ribosomal RNA (407 nucleotides) under uncultured bacterium. RNAcentral describes it as "partial 16S ribosomal RNA". It matches the Rfam family "Bacterial small subunit ribosomal RNA", at positions 29 to 526 of the family's 1533-position model. The record is from RNAcentral.